UUGGUAGUUCAGUAAUAGAAUUCUUGCCUUACAUCCAAGAGACCUAGGUUCGAUUCCCAGCCAA
RNAcentral lists this transfer RNA (64 nucleotides) under Loxodonta africana (African savanna elephant). It matches the Rfam family "tRNA". From Rfam's summary of the family: Transfer RNA (tRNA) molecules are approximately 80 nucleotides in length. Their secondary structure includes four short double-helical elements and three loops (D, anti-codon, and T loops). Lineage: Eukaryota; Metazoa; Chordata; Mammalia; Proboscidea; Elephantidae. The record is from Rfam by way of RNAcentral.